This is a long non-coding RNA of Naja naja (Indian cobra), 410 nucleotides long. NCBI's taxonomy places the organism in Eukaryota, Metazoa, Chordata, Lepidosauria, Squamata, Elapidae. The record is from Ensembl.
AUUAACACCAAGAUUAACACUUGACCAACAACCAAGCUGUAAAGAAUAUGCCAAUCAAGAAACUACCAACUUAGGCAACAAACAAGCAGUAAACCAUAGCCUAAUCACCAAGAUCAUUCCCACCAACACCGAUAGGGUAAUCCACUUUUAUGUAAACAGAGAGCAACCCCACACCCUUCCAGCACUAAUGAUAUUACCUAGUCAGGUAAUGAAAUGUCUGCAAGAGAACAACCAAGCUCAGAGAGCAUCAAGGUCUCCACAGACACUGGGUUGAAGACUGUUUCAGGGGUCUUUCUGUGCCUUUUAGUUACCUGGCUAGACACAAGAAAGAUCUUAUGCAGGUAAGGUUUGAAAGAUUGAAGAAGCGAAUGUGAAAUACGUAUGCUAUAUAGUAUUAUUCUCACAUAUAC